AUGAGGAUCCUAAGCUGGAACUGUCGGGGCUUGGGCCACCCCGGUACAGUUCGUGAGCUUGUGUGCCUAGUGCACACGCACUGCCCCUCUGUCGUGUUCAUCUCGGAGACGUGGCGGUGCAAGGAGAGUGUCAAAAAAAUAAAGUGGAGGCUAGGCCUCAAGCAUUGUAUCACCCACGAUGGAGUGGGGAAGGGUGUCGGCAUCGCCCUAUUUUGGGAUGAUAGCAUUGAAUGGCGGGGUACCUUCGUGUAUGGUGAGCCUAAAGCAAAUGAUUGACAUAACAUGUGGAGCUUUAUAGUAAAAAAACAUGUGGAGCUUGCUGAAAAGAAUCAAACCGAGGUCUGA
RNAcentral lists this ribosomal RNA (345 nucleotides) under Triticum aestivum (bread wheat). RNAcentral's name for it is "partial small subunit ribosomal RNA". The record is from RNAcentral. Lineage: Eukaryota; Viridiplantae; Streptophyta; Magnoliopsida; Poales; Poaceae.